UGAGGAAUAUUGGUCAAUGGGCGGGAGCCUGAACCAGCCAAGUCGCGUGAGGGAAGACGGUCCUAUGGAUUGUAAACCUCUUUUGUCGGGGAGCAAAGAGGCCACGUGUGGUCAAAAGCGAGAGUACCCGAAGAAAAGACAUCGGCUACUCCGUGCCAGCAGCCGCGGUAAUACGGAGGAUGCGAGCGUUAUCCGGAUUUAUUGGGUUUAAAGGGUGCGUAGGCGGGACGGUAAGUCAGCGGUAAAAAUGCGGAGCUCAACUCCGUCGAGCCGUUGAAACUGCCGUUCUUGAGUGAGCGAGAAGUAUGCGGAAUGCGUGGUGUAGCGGUGAAAUGCAUAGAUAUCACGCAGAACUCCGAUUGCGAAGGCAGCAUACCGGCGCUCAACUGACGCUGAAGCACGAAGGCGUGGGUAUCGAACAGGAUUAGAUACC
Molecule: ribosomal RNA, 433 nt
Filed under: uncultured bacterium
Lineage: Bacteria
Description: bacterial SSU rRNA
Rfam family: Bacterial small subunit ribosomal RNA
Source: RNAcentral